GACUCUCAGAAAGUAGAAUACUUUUUGGUGGUAAACUAUCUACAAGAAGCAGAGCAAUAUGUUGUUGGAUGGAAAAAUGUCAGACAGGGAAGAAGGAGACUCCAGAAGGAGAUUGAACAACUAAAGGCCUUGCUGGAGAAGGAAAAGAGAAAAAAAGAAAAAUACAACAAGAGGUACCAGCGGUUGGGAGGAGGGAAAAAAUCACCACGUUCUACAGUGGAUGCACUGCUGCGCCAUCAAACAGUUAACAACACCAUAAGGAGAAGAUUGUUGUUGCAGGAAUCAAUAAUUGAGUUGACUUUCUUCCAUGACAUAUAUUGUUGUUCAGUGGUGUGAUGUCCACCCUGUUAUGUCCUGUCCACCCCGUUUCCCCUCUGUGUUUUUUUUAUGUUAAUAAAAUAAGUUCAACAAA
Molecule: long non-coding RNA, 412 nt
Organism: Myxocyprinus asiaticus (Chinese sucker)
Lineage: Eukaryota; Metazoa; Chordata; Actinopteri; Cypriniformes; Catostomidae
Exons: 2
Source: RefSeq, a predicted model, not a curated record